This is a long non-coding RNA of Tympanuchus pallidicinctus (lesser prairie-chicken), 948 nucleotides long. RefSeq lists it as uncharacterized. The transcript has 2 exons. NCBI's taxonomy places the organism in Eukaryota, Metazoa, Chordata, Aves, Galliformes, Phasianidae. The record is from RefSeq and is a predicted model, not a curated record.
UGGAGAUCCCUCCUUCUGGUGUUUUAUGGGUGAGCCUGGCAUAAGGAUUACUGCUUUCUGGCCUCACAUUUGCUUCAAGAUGGAAAAUCCUGACUCAGCCAAGAAGCCUGAAGCAAGAAGCCCACAUAAGCCACCAAGAGGUUCAAAGCAAAGCCACAACUAUCAACAGAAAUCUGAGGAAGUAUUGGCAGUGUCUGCACAUUAGAUUCUUCUGAAUAUUCAUUCACUGAUACAGAAAUCAAAAAUCAGAGUAUAUGAAUGACCUUGGCAGGGAAAAUAUAUACAGCAGAUGUUCAAUUAUGCUCCUUUAAAAAGAUGUUUUUGCUGCAGCACUAAAAUAUAUUUCAUGCAUAUCAGUUCUUACAUCAGUGUUCUGUCUUCUCAAGAAAUUACACUUGUUUGCUCUUUAAAAAAAUGCAUAGAUUGAUAUCACAAUUAAUAAGCAUAUGGGGAAAAUGUAAGGUGCUUUAAAAAGAAAAUAAACUGACGUUCACACUGCAAGCUUCAGAAAUUUAAUAUUUCUGUCACAAGUAUAAAACAAUUGGGGCAGUGAUUAUUUCAUCUACCUCCCACUACUAUCUUCAAAUAGCAAAUUAAAGUUUUAUUUGGUAUGACUGUUUCUUCAUUCAGAGAACUGAAGUUCUGAAGCUCACAUAUUAUAGCGUGUUUUGAAAAUGCUUUUUCCUUACAGUCAUUAACCUUAUAGAAUCGGUCAAAACCAUGAACUGGAAAAUGUUGCAGGGAAAGAAUAAAUGCAAAUGACAUCUGAGAAUAAUCAUUACAACUUUUAGAGGGUCUCUAAAGUCCUUUCUGUGUCUUGUGAUCUCCCUUCCUAUCAGUCUGAGGUAGAAAAAGAUACUUCCUGAAUUUGGGUGCAAGGAAAAUAAAAAGUAAAAGAAGAAGAAGAAAGAUGAAAAGAAAAAGAGGCCUAAAUGUAAAACACAUUUU